AGCUUUAAGUUUAAUUUAAGGUGAGACCUGCCCAAUGCAAUAAUGUAAACGGCCGCAGUACCUUGACUGUGCUAAGGUAGCAUAAUCAGUUGGCUUUUAAAUGGAGUCGAGAAUGAAUGGAUUAAUAGGAUGAAGCUGUCUCUUUUAUAUUAAUUUGAAUUUACUUAUUAGGUGAAAAUUCCUAUAUUUAGAAAAAAGACGAGAAGACCCUAGGAGUUUUAACUAAUAGUUAUUUUUAACUUAUGUUUUGGUUGGGGCGACGUUGGAGAACUAUAACCUCCUAUAACUUAUUUGCCGAUAAAAUAUGAUAAUAUAAACUACCCUAGGGAUAACAGCGUAAUUCUUUUAGAGCUUGCGACCUCGAUGUUGGACUAGGAAUUUAUUAGGCUAGCCGCUUAUUUAUAUUGUUCUGUUCGAACAAAUUUCUCCUACAU
Molecule: ribosomal RNA, 434 nt
Filed under: Thuridilla bayeri
Lineage: Eukaryota; Metazoa; Mollusca; Gastropoda; Plakobranchidae
Description: partial 16S ribosomal RNA
Rfam family: Bacterial large subunit ribosomal RNA
Source: RNAcentral